This 667-nucleotide ribosomal RNA is filed under the name uncultured Vibrionaceae bacterium. RNAcentral's name for it is "bacterial SSU rRNA". It matches the Rfam family "Bacterial small subunit ribosomal RNA", at positions 1 to 671 of the family's 1533-position model. The record is from RNAcentral. Lineage: Bacteria; Pseudomonadati; Pseudomonadota; Gammaproteobacteria; Vibrionales; Vibrionaceae.
UAGAGUUUGAUCCUGGCUCAGAUUGAACGCUGGCGGCAGGCCUAACACAUGCAAGUCGAGCGGUAACAUGUCUAGCUUGCUAGAUGAUGACGAGCGGCGGACGGGUGAGUAAUGCUUGGGGAUCUGCCUUAGAGUGGAGGAUAACCAUUGGAAACGAUGGCUAAUACUGCAUAGUAUCUGCGGAUUAAAGGGGGCUUCGGCUCUUGCUUUAAGAUGAACCCAAGUGGGAUUAGCUAGUUGGUGAGGUAAUGGCUCACCAAGGCGACGAUCCCUAGCUGGUCUGAGAGGAUGAUCAGCCACACUGGAACUGAGACACGGUCCAGACUCCUACGGGAGGCAGCAGUGGGGAAUAUUGCACAAUGGGCGAAAGCCUGAUGCAGCCAUGCCGCGUGUGUGAAGAAGGCCCUAGGGUUGUAAAGCACUUUCAGUCAGGAGGAAAGGUUAGUAGUUAAUACCUGCUAGCUGUGACGUUACUGACAGAAGAAGCACCGGCUAACUUCGUGCCAGCAGCCGCGGUAAUACGAGGGGUGCAAGCGUUAAUCGGAAUUACUGGGCGUAAAGCGAGCGUAGGCGGCUGAAUAAGCUGGAUGUGAGAAACCGGGGCUCAACCUCGGCCGUGCAUUCAGAACUGUUUAGCUAGAGUCCUGUAGAGGGGGGUAGAAGUUCA